AGCUUGUACAGGUGCUGCAUGGCUGUCGUCAGCUCGUGUCGUGAGAUGUUCGGUUAAGUCCGCUAACGAGCGCAACCCUCGCUGUGUGUUACAAGUGUCACACGGAACUGCCGGUCAUAAACCGGAGGAAGGUGGGGAUGACGUCAAGUCAGCAUGGCCUUUAUAUCCUGGGCUACACACACGCUACAAUGGGAAGGGACAAUAGGUUGCGAAGCCGCGAGGCGGAGCCAAUCCAGCAAAACUUCCCUCAGUUCAGAUUGCAGGCUGCAACCCGCCUGCAUGAAGUUGGGGUUGCUAGUAAACGCAGGUCAGCCAUACUGCGUUGAAUACGUUCCCGGGGCUU
Molecule: ribosomal RNA, 343 nt
Filed under: uncultured Anaerolineaceae bacterium
Lineage: Bacteria; Bacillati; Chloroflexota; Anaerolineae; Anaerolineales; Anaerolineaceae
Description: bacterial SSU rRNA
Rfam family: Bacterial small subunit ribosomal RNA
Source: RNAcentral